This 326-nucleotide ribosomal RNA is filed under the name uncultured Chloroflexota bacterium. Its description in RNAcentral is "bacterial SSU rRNA". It matches the Rfam family "Bacterial small subunit ribosomal RNA", at positions 28 to 351 of the family's 1533-position model. The record is from RNAcentral. Lineage: Bacteria; Bacillati; Chloroflexota.
GAUGAACGCUGGCGGCGUGCCUAAUACAUGCAAGUCGAACGGGGUUGUUGUAGCAAAUACGACAACUUAGUGGCGAACGGGUGAGUAACGCGUUGGUGACCUGCCCCGAAGAGGGGGAUAACAGUCCGAAAGGAUUGCUAAUACCCCAUGUGGUCAUCGGGUUUAGAAACCGAUGACUAAAGCAGUAAUGCGCUUUGGGAGGGACCUGCGUCCCAUCAGCUAGUUGGUAGGGUAAUGGCCUACCAAGGCGACGACGGGUAGGGGACCUGAGAGGGUGGCCCCCCACAAUGGAACUGAAACACGGUCCAUACACCUACGGGAGGCAG